RNAcentral lists this ribosomal RNA (550 nucleotides) under uncultured marine bacterium. RNAcentral's name for it is "bacterial SSU rRNA". It matches the Rfam family "Bacterial small subunit ribosomal RNA", at positions 378 to 921 of the family's 1533-position model. The record is from RNAcentral.
UACGUCUGGCCACAGUAUGCCGCGAUGCAUUUAAGACGGCCCUAUGGUUUGAAAACUGUUUUUAUACAGGAAAAAAAACUCCGACGUGUCGAAAAUUGACCGUACUGUAACAAUAAGGAUCGGCUAACUCCAUGCCAGCAGCCGCGGUAAUACGGAGGAUCCGAGCGUUAUCCGGAAUCAUUGGGUUUAAAGGGUCCGUAGGCGGUUUUUUAAGUCAGAGGUGAAAUCCUGCAGCUCAACUGUAGAAUUGCCUUUGAUACUGAAAGACUUGAGUUAUUGUGAAGUGGUUAAAAUGUGUGGUGUAGCGGUGAAAUGCAUAGAUAUCACACAGAAUACCGAUUGCGAAGGCAGAUCACUAACAAUAUACUGACGCUCAGGGACGAAAGCGUGGGUAGCGAACAGGAUUAGAUACCCUGGUAGUCCACGCCGUAAACGAUGGAUACUAGCUGUAUGUCUACUUCCGGUAGAUGUGUGGCUAAUCGAAAGUGAUAACUAUCCCACCUGGGGAGUACGAUCGCACGAAUGAAACUCAAAGGAAUUGACGGAUCCU